RNAcentral lists this small RNA (750 nucleotides) under Pan troglodytes (chimpanzee). Its description in RNAcentral is "retained intron". The record is from RNAcentral. Lineage: Eukaryota; Metazoa; Chordata; Mammalia; Primates; Hominidae.
CGCUGGGGAUACCCCGGCCUGAUGGAGAGGGUCUAAGACCUUCCCGUCUUCUCCGGACACGGGAAAACAUUACCCUCUCUCUUUAUUCGCUAUGCUGAGUGGCAGGGAGGGUGCCCCGCUCCUGGUCCCCUUUUUUAUCCCCAGCCCUUGAACUUUUCCGGACUGACCUAUGUUUCUUGCCAGCUGAGGGAAGCGGCGGACUACGAUCCUUUCCUGCUCUUCAGUGCCAACCUGAAGCGGGAGCUGGCUGGGGAGCAGCCGUACCGCCGCGCUCUGCGGUGCCUGGACAUGCUGAGCCUCCAGGGCCAGUUCACCUUCACCGCCGACCGGCCGCAGCUGCACUGCGCAGCCUUCUUCAUCAGCGAGCCCGAGGAGUUCAUUACCAUCCACUACGACCAGGUCUCCAUCGACUGUCAGGGCCGGCGACUUCCUGAAGGUAUUUGAUGGUUGGAUUCUCAAGGGGGAGAAGUUCCCCAGUCCAAGGAUCAUCCUCCUCCCCUCAGCUGAGCGGUACAUAGAUUUCUGUGAGAGUGGUCUUAGCAGGAGGAGCAUCAGAUCUUCCCAGAAUGUGGCCAUGAUCUUCUUCCGAGUCCAUGAACCAGGAAAUGGAUUCACAUUAACCAUAAAGACAGACCCCAACCUCUUUCCCUGCAAUGUCAUUUCUCAGACUCCAAAUGGAAAGUUUACCCUGGUAGUUCCACACCAGCAUCGAAACUGCAGCUUCUCCAUAAUUUAUCUGUGGUGAUCAAA